UUUCUGAAAUUCUGAAUGGAUUUGCGAGGUGGUUGUUGAUGUUAUGCGAUCUUGAGAUUGAAAGAUUAAGGCGUGUUGAAGUUGUUGCUUGAGGGUUGAAGGAUGAAGAUAGCGGAGAGUUGAGGAUUGAAGGUUUAGCUCAACCGUUCAGAGCUUCCAUUGAUGAAGCUCUGACAGUUAUGAAUUCCUGAGCUUUAGUUAGGUUAGGGAGAUGAAGGCAAUGGUGAAGAUUGAGAGAGAGAAUUUGAGAGAGAGUGAUGAAAUGGAUGAAAGAUGAAUGGUGCGUGUGUAUACAAAAAUGGUGGAGGGGGUGGUCAACCUUGAAUGAAGGUGAUGAGGUUUGAAUAUAUAGAGAUUGAGAGGGAGAAAGAGUUAGUUAGAGAGGAGUUUGAGAUUCUGAGCCAUUGGAUUAGAGGAAGUUAGUUAUGAGAUUAAGGGUGAGGAUUGGACAGUUGUGGAAGUUAGAAUCAGUUGGGAAAUUCUGUUAUUUCUGUUUUUGAUGAGCUGGAAGUUAGUUACAAACUGUUAUGACAGUUAGUUAGGUUGGUUAGAAUAUGCUCUAGCAGUUGGUUUUUGUAUUGAAUUUCCUGCCUCAUUUUGCCAGUUGAAUAUGCACUGAUGCAGUAUAACUGCUCCUUUUGUAUCUGCUCUCUUUUUUUUAGUCCCAAUGAUUGAUUGCUUGAACCGUAUUUGAAUAGCCUUCUGAUUGUGGAAUUUUGGCUCUGAAUAUGAUAUGUAUUGCUUGGGUUUUGAAUCCAAUGGGAUGCUGAAUGAAGGGAUAUAUGUAUGGCUGUGUAUGUUCUUGGAACUGUUUUCCUUGGCUUUUUCUUUUGGAAUGAGUGUGAGUUGCGGGUCCUUUUAAUUUGCAGCAAAGUCGUGAUUUGAAUUGUGCAGGUUGUUCAGGAAUGCAUGAGUGACAGUAACAUGGACCAUGGCUGAUGAUUGUAUGGUGUAGACCUUUGGUACAUGGACAUAUAUUGGGUGAAUGCUUAUGUAUGUGUGAUAUGGGGAUGGUGUCGAUUAGUGCAAUGUUAUUUAAUGCAGCUUUUCUUUUCUGUUUUGUCUAAUGGUGCAGGUUUAGCACAUAGCAACUUGUAUAACACAUUUAUUCAACACUUGGAUGACAAUGGUUAUAUGAUGCAUUUAAUUCAAUUGAUACAAGGAGGUCAAAAUGAAGAUGAAUGAAGAGGCUUUGAAGAGAAUAAGAUAUAAGCCUUAGGAUUAAUGUAAAAUAAUAAUGAAGUGAUAAAAAUAUUGUUUGGUUUGGUUUUCAAAUGCAUAUGAAAGUUUUGAAUAUGUAAUGGAUUCUUGAGUUUGAAUUCUUUGUACUGUUGCCCUUCUACAUCAUGAUAUAAA
Molecule: long non-coding RNA, 1356 nt
Organism: Vicia villosa (hairy vetch)
Lineage: Eukaryota; Viridiplantae; Streptophyta; Magnoliopsida; Fabales; Fabaceae
Exons: 3
Source: RefSeq, a predicted model, not a curated record